This 361-nucleotide ribosomal RNA is filed under the name uncultured bacterium. Its description in RNAcentral is "bacterial SSU rRNA". It matches the Rfam family "Bacterial small subunit ribosomal RNA", at positions 29 to 416 of the family's 1533-position model. The record is from RNAcentral.
AACGAACGCUGGCGGCAUGCCUAACACAUGCAAGUCGAACGAGAUCUUCGGGUCUAGUGGCGCACGGGUGCGUAACGCGUGGGAAUCUGCCCUUGGGUUCGGAAUAACUUCGGGAAACUGAAGCUAAUACCGGAUGAUGACGUAAGUCCAAAGAUUUAUCGCCCAAGGAUGAGCCCGCGUAGGAUUAGCUAGUUGGUGGGGUAAAGGCCUACCAAGCCGACGAUCCUUAGCUGGUCUGAGAGGAUGAUCAGCCACACUGGGACUGAGACACGGCCCAGACUCCUACGGGAGGCAGCAGUGGGGAAUAUUGGACAAUGGGCGGAAAGCCUGAUCCAGCAAUGCCGCGUGAGUGAUGAAGGCC